Molecule: ribosomal RNA, 845 nt
Filed under: uncultured archaeon
Lineage: Archaea
Description: bacterial SSU rRNA
Rfam family: Archaeal small subunit ribosomal RNA
Source: RNAcentral
CUGACUGCUAUCGGAUUGAUACUAAGCCAUGCGAGUCAUUGUAGCAAUACAAGGCAGACGGCUCAGUAACACGUAGUCAAUCUACCCUAUGGACGUGAAUAACCUCGGGAAACUGAGAAUAAUGCCCGAUAGAACAUUAUGCCUGGAAUGGUUUAUGUGUCAAAUGAUUUAUCGCCAUAGGAUGGGACUGCGGCCUAUCAGUUUGUUGGUGAGGUAAUGGCCCACCAAGACUACUACAGGUACGGGCUCUGAGAGGAGUAGCCCGGAGAUGGGUACUGAGACACGGACCCAGGCCCUAUGGGGCGCAGCAGGCGAGAAACCUUUGCAAUGUGCGAAAGCACGACAAGGUUAAUCCGAGUGGUUUCUGCUAAAGAAACCUUUUGUCAGUCCUAGAAACACUAACGAAUAAGGGGUGGGCAAGUUCUGGUUUCACCCGCCGCGGUAAAACCAGCCCCUCAAGUGGUCAGGAUGAUUAUUGGGCCUAAAGCAUCCGUAGCUCGUUUUGUAAGUUUUCGGUUAAAUCCAUGCGCUUAACGUAUGGGCUGCCGGGAAUACUGCAUAACUAGGAAGUGGGAGAGGUAGACGGUAUUCGGGAGGAAGGGGUAAAAUCCUUUGAUCUCUUGAUGACCACCUGUGGCGAAGGCGGUCUACCAGAACACGUUCGACGGUGAGGGAUGAAAGCUGGGGGAGCAAACCGGAUUAGAUACCCGGGUAGUCCCAGCUGUAAACUAUGCAAACUCAGUGAUGCAUUGGCUUAUGGCCAAUGCAGUGCUGCAGGGAAGCCGUUAAGUUUGCCGCCUGGGAAGUACGUACGCAAGUAUGAAACUUAAAGGAAAUUGGCGGGG